GGAUCUGAUUGGCUGCUGCAGGUCGUGUGGUUAUCCAGAGGCGAGCAGAGGGAAGCAGUUUCCCCCUGAUGAGGUUUGUCAGCAGCACAUCCACUGAGCUGGACUCAGUGACAUCAGUCAGGAUCUCAGUGUUGUGGAAGUCCAGAGGAAGUCGACACUCAUCCAGACCGUCAAAGAUGAACACAACCUGGAACUCUUCAAA
This is a long non-coding RNA of Dicentrarchus labrax (European seabass), 202 nucleotides long. RefSeq lists it as uncharacterized. The transcript has 2 exons. The record is from RefSeq and is a predicted model, not a curated record. Lineage: Eukaryota; Metazoa; Chordata; Actinopteri; Moronidae.